RNAcentral lists this long non-coding RNA (538 nucleotides) under Anser cygnoides (Swan goose). RNAcentral describes it as "lncRNA (ENSACDG00005017690.1)". The record is from RNAcentral. Lineage: Eukaryota; Metazoa; Chordata; Aves; Anseriformes; Anatidae.
AUGUUGUGCUGGAAAAAAGUCCAAAAAUCUCCUUCCAUGGGAAAUCUUGAAGUUUUUCCUUUUCAUUUUGAAAUGACUUUUUAUUUUGGAAUUUCACUUGGAAUGGAAAUUCUAAGAGUCUGCCAAUUCAAGUCAGCUGUGAUUCAGCUGUUACUCAUCCAUAAAAUUAAUAACUUCAUGUCUUGUUUCUUAAUUCAUAGAAGUUUAGUAUUGGUUUAUCAUUAUUCAAAUAUUAUCCAAAGCACUUUUUUCUUUCAGGAAAGAAAUAAGGAGGAGAGAACCUAUCUGAAAGACCGUGCUGAAAACCAAGAUGCUUGUUUUUCAACAGAGCUGUGAAUCCUGUAACAAAGAUCCACUUCAAUGAGAAAACCUGUGCCGUCAAGCGAUGCCUGGUGUACCCAGUACAACACAUCUGCAAACAGGAAUCCCAUCAGGCUCCAUUUCCUGCAGCCAUCUACCAGGGCUUCAGAUGCAGUUAAAUUCUGUCUUGUAGUGGUAUUGCAAAGGAAUAUUUAAAUAAAGCUGUGAUUGCACACCA